This 391-nucleotide ribosomal RNA is filed under the name uncultured bacterium. RNAcentral's name for it is "bacterial SSU rRNA". It matches the Rfam family "Bacterial small subunit ribosomal RNA", at positions 775 to 1159 of the family's 1533-position model. The record is from RNAcentral.
AGUCAAUAGAUACCCGGGUAGUCCACGCCCUAAACGAUGCCAACUAGGUGUUGGGGAAGGAGACUUCCUUAGUACCGUAGCUAAACGCGUGAAAGUUGGCCGCCUGGGGAGUACGGUCGCAAGAUUAAAACUCAAAGGAAUUGACGGGGACCCGCACAAGCGGUGGAUGAUGUGGAUUAAUUCGAUGCAACGCGAAAAACCUUAACCUACCCUUGACAUGCCAGGAAUCCUGCUGAGAGGUGGGAGUGCCCGAAAGGGAGCCUGGACACAGGUGCUGCAUGGCUGUCGUCAGCUCGUGUCGUGAGAUGUUGGGUUAAGUCCCGCAACGAGCGCAACCCUUGUCAUUAGUUGCCAUCAUUCAGUUGGGCACUCUAAUGAGACUGCCGGUGAC